This 478-nucleotide ribosomal RNA is filed under the name uncultured bacterium. Its description in RNAcentral is "partial 16S ribosomal RNA". It matches the Rfam family "Bacterial small subunit ribosomal RNA", at positions 28 to 507 of the family's 1533-position model. The record is from RNAcentral.
GACGAACGCUGGCGGCGUGCUUAACACAUGCAAGUCGAACGGAAAUUAGUAGACAUUAGCCUCGGCUAGAGAUUACUAAUGAGAGUGGCGAACGGGGGAGUAACGCGUUAGCAACCUGCCUAUGCCAGGGGGAUAGGCUCGGGAAACCGGGAUUAAUACUGCAUCACAUCGUUGAAACACAUGUUUCAACGGUCAAAGAUUUAUCGGUCUUAUAUGGGCUGGCUUCUGAUUAGCUUGUUGGUGAGAUAACAGCCCACCAAGGCGACGAUCAGUAGCCGGGAUGAGAGAAUGAACCGCCACAUUGGAACUGAGCCACAGUCCAAAAUCCUACGGGAGGGAGCAGAGGGGAAUAUUGCACAAUGGGGGAAACCCUGAUGCAGCGACGCCGCGUGAACGCAGAAGGUAUUCGUAUCGUAAAGUUCUGUCCUAUGGGAAGAUAAUGACAGUACCAUAGAAGAAAGCUCCGGCUAAAUACGUG